Long non-coding RNA from Octopus sinensis (East Asian common octopus), 132 nucleotides. RefSeq lists it as uncharacterized. Lineage: Eukaryota; Metazoa; Mollusca; Cephalopoda; Octopoda; Octopodidae. The record is from RefSeq and is a predicted model, not a curated record. The transcript has 3 exons.
UUUCUAUGUUAGUAUGUGAAGGCACAUGAUUUAGUAGUUAGGGUAAUUGGCUCACAAUCGCAAGGUUGUGAGUUUGAUUCCUGGCUGCGCCAUUAUGUUCUUGAGCAAGACACUUUAUUUCAUGUUUCUCCA